Eriocheir sinensis (Chinese mitten crab) is the source of this 544-nucleotide long non-coding RNA. RefSeq lists it as uncharacterized. The record is from RefSeq and is a predicted model, not a curated record. The transcript has 3 exons. Lineage: Eukaryota; Metazoa; Arthropoda; Malacostraca; Decapoda; Varunidae.
CAUGGGCACAGGGAUAGGCGCACACACACACACACACACACACUCGUCACCACAGAAAAAAAAAUGCUAAGAAUCUGUAGAGCAGCGACAGAAAUGGUGCCAAGCCUGAGAGCCGUGGCAUGCAGGUGAAGAGAGGUUGAAAAGACUGCAUGGGUUUGAGGGGAGGUUGAAGAGACUGCAUGGGUUUGAGGGGAGGUUGAAGAGACUGCAUGGGUUUGAGGGGAGGUUGAACAGACUGCAUGGGUUUGAGGGGAGGUUGAACAGACUGCAUGGGUUUGAGGGGAGGUUGAACAGACUGCAUGGGUUUGAGGGGAGGUUGAACAGACUGCAUGGGUUUGAGGGGAGGUUGAACAGACUGCAUGGGUUUGAGGGGAGGUUGAAAAGACUGCAUGGGUUUGAGGGGAGGUUGAACAGACUGCAUGGGUUUGAGGGGAGGUUGAAAAGACUGCAUGGGUUUGAGGGGAGGUUGAAAAGACUGCAUGGGUUUGAGGGGAGGUUGAACAGACUGCAUGGGUUUGAGGGGAGGUUGAAGAGACUGCAUGGG